AGAACGAACGCUGGCGGCAGGCUUAACACAUGCAAGUCGAACGGUUGUAGCAAUACAGCAGUGGCAGACGGGUGAGUAACACGUGGGAACCUUCCUAGGGGUACGGAACAACUCAGGGAAACUUGAGCUAAUACCGUAUACGUCCGUAAGGAGAAAGAUUCAUCGCCCCUAGACGGGCCCGCGUAGGAUUAGGUAGUUGGUGAGGUAACGGCUCACCAAGCCUACGAUCCUUAGCUGAUCUGAGAGGAUGAUCAGCCACACUGGGACUGAGACACGGCCCAGACUCCUACGGGAGGCAGCAGUGGGGAAUCUUGGACAAGUGGGCGCAAGCCUGAUCCAGCCAUGCCGCGUGAGUGAAGAAGGCCUUCGGGUUAGUAAAGUCUCUUUUACCAGGGACGAUAAUGAACGGUACCUGGAGAAGUAACGCCCCGACAAACCUUCGACCGAC
RNAcentral lists this ribosomal RNA (448 nucleotides) under uncultured soil bacterium. RNAcentral's name for it is "bacterial SSU rRNA". It matches the Rfam family "Bacterial small subunit ribosomal RNA", at positions 26 to 512 of the family's 1533-position model. The record is from RNAcentral.